GGGCAUUUUGGGGACAGACUCUACAGUUUACUAGUGGCCCCAGGACAUCCUGCAAAAGAGGUGAAAUCAGUAUUGGAGAAGUGGUCUCAUGAAGAUGGGAGCACGACUACUACAAUUGACUGCUGACUUCUCACCCAAGGAAGUAACUGUAUCCCAGCCUAAUCUCAGUGGAUAAGCCCACAGGGUUAAGGAGUAAUCAUCAUGCUCCAUUUCGUUUUUGAGCCAUCUUCAGCCUUUGAGUCCUUAAGCUUUUUGGAGACAGUUUGUGGAGAAGGUCCUCACAACAUUGUGCAACAAGUGUGAAAGAUGUAGUCUCCAUUUACGGCUACUGAAAUAGGCUGAGAGAGGGUUUCCUAGACUUUCCAUCACCACCAGUGAAUUCUGAGUGACAAUAGUGUGGAAUUUGGAAGAAUGGAAGAGAAACUGAAGUGGAGAGAUGGUGAAAGAGAAGAAAAAAUGAAGAAAGAUGCUUGCAAAAAUACUGCUGUGGGUCCUGAGAUGAGGAUUCUGGGAGGGGACGGUCAGCGGGGAGCGGGAUCGUCUUAGACCAUGAGGGAGGAUGAGGUGCUGAGAGCUGGAAGAAUGAAGAGAAAAGUGGCCUGAUGAGGAGGUGGAGGUGUGAGAAGUGACAAAGAGUCUGUGAGGAGAAUGAGGAAGGGCAACCCGAGAAAUCAAGAAAAAUCAGGAGACAAAUCUCCUAGAAGCCAAGAAGAUGGUGGUAAACUAAUAAGUGAUGAGAGCAG
Molecule: long non-coding RNA, 743 nt
Organism: Homo sapiens (human)
Lineage: Eukaryota; Metazoa; Chordata; Mammalia; Primates; Hominidae
Product: long intergenic non-protein coding RNA 2615
Source: Ensembl